CACCGCCCGUCACACCAUGGGAGUUGGUUCUACCUGAAGGCGGUGCGCCAACCUGCAAAGGGGGCAGCCGACCACGGUGAGCUUCAUGACUGGGGUG
This 97-nucleotide ribosomal RNA is filed under the name uncultured bacterium. Its description in RNAcentral is "partial 16S ribosomal RNA". The record is from RNAcentral.